RNAcentral lists this ribosomal RNA (183 nucleotides) under uncultured clade A Symbiodinium sp. Its description in RNAcentral is "partial 23S ribosomal RNA". Lineage: Eukaryota; Dinophyceae; Suessiales; Symbiodiniaceae. The record is from RNAcentral.
UCAGUACAAAUAAUAUGCUGGUUAGCUAAGACAGCACACUAAAGGACAAAAAGACCCUUUGAAGCUUUAUAGGGAUAAAACACGGUACUACAAACCAUUAGCAACAACAUCGCAAACAGCUACAACAAGCGAGACGCAAUAAACUGCCAUCAAGACACAAGGACUGUUUAAUUGGGGCGAUAA